UGGAUUAGAUACCCUGGUAGUCCACGCCCUAAACGAUGCCAACUAGGUGUUGGGGAAGGAGACUUCCUUAGUACCGUAGCUAACGCGUGAAGUUGGCCGCCUGGGGAGUACGGUCGCAAGAUUAAAACUCAAAGGAAUUGACGGGGACCCGCACAAGCGGUGGAUGAUGUGGAUUAAUUCGAUGCAACGCGAAAAACCUUACCUACCCUUGACAUGCCAGGAACUUUCCAGAGAUGGAUUGGUGCCCGAAAGGGAGCCUGGACACAGGUGCUGCACGGCCGUCGCCAGCU
This 290-nucleotide ribosomal RNA is filed under the name uncultured bacterium. Its description in RNAcentral is "partial 16S ribosomal RNA". It matches the Rfam family "Bacterial small subunit ribosomal RNA", at positions 774 to 1060 of the family's 1533-position model. The record is from RNAcentral.